This is a long non-coding RNA of Engraulis encrasicolus (European anchovy), 337 nucleotides long. RefSeq lists it as uncharacterized. NCBI's taxonomy places the organism in Eukaryota, Metazoa, Chordata, Actinopteri, Clupeiformes, Engraulidae. The record is from RefSeq and is a predicted model, not a curated record. The transcript has 3 exons.
UCAAGGUGUUUUCGCGGACGUAUUGGCAUGUGGAUGUUGACAGUGUCGGAAGUAUUAAUCAAAGUUGACACGAGAAGUUGGAGCGAAUGCGAGAAGAGUAUGCGACGAGCUGCCUGCCUGCUGCUGCCUACUGCCUACUCCUGCUGCUGCCGCUGCUGCUGUUGCAUCCAAUGUUGGGUAGCCAGCCACCCAUGCAUGUUGACACAGCCAGCAGCGGGCACCCAUGGCACAUGGGGAUGGACCCAGGAGUGGAGGAUGACCCAAUAGGAUGAACGUUCAGCCCACUCACUGUUGACACCAGUGACACAGUAUUGACCAGAUCUCCUGGAAGUGCCCC